This 1693-nucleotide long non-coding RNA is filed under the name Homo sapiens (human). Its description in RNAcentral is "HSALNT0160573". Lineage: Eukaryota; Metazoa; Chordata; Mammalia; Primates; Hominidae. The record is from RNAcentral.
CAAGGCUUAGAUAGAAAAGAUUAGUUAUCAAUGAGAGAAUGGAAAGUUCUAGAUGCACCUGAUGUUAUUUCCAGAUAUUGCCCACAGGAGCUUGAAGCAUGUAGUUUAGACCUUAGAUAAGCAGGAAUCCACAUUCCCAAGACACAUUUCACCACUACCCCAGGUUCUUUCUUGGAAUAGCCAGUUUCACCAAGUGUUCCUGUGUUUCCCUUCCAUCUGCCUGUUUUUCCCAACCUCAGAUGACAGGAAUAGGCAGCUGCCCCUUGCCAAGCAUUGGUGGGAGAUUCCCAAAUGUUCACCUGCUGCAGGGACAAGGGCAGGGUUGGACUGACUCCAUAACUUUAGCUGGAAGCCUUGCUCAGGAGUGCCCCCUACUUGAUGAAGGGAAAAGGUCAGACAAAUGGUCUCAAAGAACUGAAAGGGCAUCCGGCCAGAAUGAACUUCAAAUAUGAAGAAAUUCCACAAAUAAUGCAUUUUCUGUUCUUACCUCCAUGCCCUUAUUGAAAACACCAUUCACUGUUCUUCCAACUACACUCUAAGACAAGAAAUGUAUGCUGGGAGGAAACAAAGACUAGUCUGAUAUGAAACUUGCUUUCAAAAGCAGAGUUGUGAUAUUCAAGAAAAAUAUCACAGAAUAGAAUGUCCUAACUGCAAUAGGAGAGGUUCAGAUAAAAUACUACAGAAGUUCACAGCAUGGAGCCCCAGCAGUCAUCUUUUCCAAACGAAUCAUCUUACCAGAGCACAAAACCCUCUCCAAGAUACCACAUCACUAGUAAAUAUGGUAAUGUGGAAUUUAAAUCUUUAACAUCUACCAAGAGCCUGCAAAAUCAGUAUGCAAAGUAAUGUGUUGCAUUGUUUAAAGAAUACUAGGUUGAUGGUGAAACCCCGUCUCUACUAAAAAAAAUACAAAAAUUAGCCAGGCGUGGUGGCGCACGCCUGUAAUCUCAGCUACUCAGGAGGUUGAGGCAGGAGAAUCUCUUGAACUCAGGAGGCCAAGGUUGCAGUGAGCCAAGAUUGCGCCAUUGAAAUCCAGCUGGGGCGACAGGGGGAGACUCCAUCUCCAAAAAAAAAAAAAAAGAAUACCAGGUUGAAACGUGCUCUCAAAAUACAAAGUUAAUUAGAUGGAGGGUCUCUUCCAACUUAUUUGCACAAAAAUAAGUAUUUUCUCUUUAUUUUGUCCUUAAUGUCAAGUAAAAACUUUAUUUACCUGAAGUUCUUUUUGAGGCUACAAAGGAGGGUCAUUUAGCUUGCUCCAAGUUACAGAAGAAACUGAGGCACAAAAAAAUUUAAUACAUUGAAUCUAAAAGCUUUAAAUAAAGGAUGCAUUGAUUAAAAAACAAAUAUGGAUGACCUACUAGAAGCUUGGAAAUGUUUAGUUGAAGCUUUCUCCUCUUAUCUUAAAUACAGGGCUCCCUGGAAAUUAAUCACAGAUGUUCCAGCACUUGGUAGAAAGGCAAACUUGUGGUGGGAAAGAUACAAACAAAAUAAGAGCCAAAAGUUGGUCAUUGUUUGCAGGAUGUCUUAUUCAAUGUGUAUUUUUCUAUAUGUACAUGCAUAGGUAAGUCUCAGAGACUUUCUGCUCAAAGAUAGGUGACUCUCAGGUAUGGUGCAAAAGAGCAAUCUCCCCUCCCACCCUCACACUCUUUAAAAACAAGGCAGGGUGGCUGGGUGCAGUGGCUCAUGCCUGUAAUCC